CCUACGGGUGGCAGCAGUGGGGAAUAUUGGACAAUGGGGGGAACCCUGACCCAGCGACGCCGCGUGAGUGAAGAAGUAUUUCGGUAUGUAAAGCUCUAUCAGCAGGGAAGAAAAUGACGGUACCUGACUAAGAAGCCCCGGCUAACUACGUGCCAGCAGCCGCGGUAAUACGUAGGGGGCAAGCGUUAUCCGGAUUUACUGGGUGUAAAGGGAGCGCAGGCGGUGCGGUAAGUCUGAUGUGAAAGCCCGGGGCUCAACCCCGGGACUGCAUUGGAAACUGGCGUUCUGGAGUGUCUGAGGGGCAAGUGGAAUUCCUGGUGUAGGGGUGAAAUGCGUAGAUAUUAGGAGGAACACCAGUGGCGAAGGCGGCUAGCUGGAAGACAACUGACGCUGAGGCGCGAAAGCGUGGGGAGCAAACAGGAUUAGAUACCCCUGUAGUC
This 440-nucleotide ribosomal RNA is filed under the name uncultured bacterium. RNAcentral describes it as "partial 16S ribosomal RNA". It matches the Rfam family "Bacterial small subunit ribosomal RNA", at positions 338 to 795 of the family's 1533-position model. The record is from RNAcentral.